UUUCCCUCAUCCACACCAACCGGUCGCCCGAAUCUCGAGCGCCACCCAUGGCCUCCUCCGCCUUGUCCGGCACCCACCAUCGCCUCCUUCUCCCCUGUUUCCUGCGCCGCCUCCCCCGACCCCGCUCGCGCUCGUGCUCCCGCCUCCGCCUCGCCGCCUGCCACGCCGACACCCUCCUUUCCUCCUCCGGGGCCCAGGGGCCGCCCUCCCCCGCCGCGUGCUCGUCGGCAUCCUCCGCUGGCGGGUUCUCUGACUGGCUACUCACGAAUGGGCUGCCGCCGGGCAAGGUGGCCAUCCUGGAGCGCCCCGUCCCGUGCUCUCGCGGGGGCAAAGACCGGCCAUUACACUUCGUCGCUGCUGGGCAGGACCUCGAGGCGGGGGAUGUGGCGUUCGAGGUGCCCAUGUCGCUCGUUGUCACACUGGAGCGGGUUCUCGGCGACGAGUCGGUCGCUGAAUUGUUAACAACAAACAAAUUGUCUGAGCUGGCAUGCUUGGCAUUGUAUCUGAUGUAUGAGAAGAAGCAAGGAAGAGAUUCACUUUGGUACCCGUAUAUUAAAGAACUUGAUCGUCAGCGAGGCAGGGGGCAACUAGCUGUUGAAUCACCUCUUUUAUGGAUUGAAAGUGAACUGGAUUACCUGAAUGGCAGCCCCAUGAGGGAUGAAGUUGUUGUUAGAGAUGAGGGAAUAAGAAGAGAGUAUAAUGAGCUUGACACAUUGUGGUUCAUGGCAGGUUCAUUGUUUAAGCAAUACCCUUUUGAUGUACCUACUGAGGCGUUUCCGUUUGAGAUCUUCAAGCAGGCAUUUGUUGCAGUACAGUCUUGUGUGGUUCAUUUGCAGAAGGUUAGUUUAGCUCGAAGAUUUGCACUAGUUCCCUUGGGCCCACCACUGUUGACGUACAAGAGCAACUGCAAAGCAAUGCUGACUGCUGUUGAUGGUUCUGUUCGGUUGCUGGUCGAUCGGCCGUACAAAGCAGGAGAACCAAUAAUUGUUUGGUGUGGGCCUCAACCAAACUCCAGGUUGCUUCUCAAUUAUGGUUUUGUUGAUGAAGACAAUCCAUAUGAUCGCAUAGCAAUCGAGGCAUCCCUAAACACUGAAGAUCCUCAAUACCAAGAGAAGAGAAUGGUCGCUCAAAGAAAUGGAAAGCUUGCUAUCCAAAAAUUCCAAGUCUGUGUAGGCAAAGAGAAGGAAACUAUUUCUGAAAUGCUGCCAUACUUGAGACUAGGAUACAUUUCAGAUCCAGAUGAAAUGCAAUGUAUACUUUCGUCAGAAGGUGAUACAUGUCCAGUUAGUCCAUGCUCAGAGCGAGCUGUACUUGACCAACUUGUUGUCUACCUGAAAUCAAGAUUGGCUGGUUAUCCGACUACUUUGGACGAGGAUGAAGCAAUGUUGGCCGAGGGCAGUUUGGAGCCAAAGAAAGAAGUUGCCACUAGACUUGUAAGGUUAGAGAAGAAAAUGCUGCAUGGCUGUCUUCAGGCUGCUAACGAGUUCAUAAGUGGCUUGCCUGAUCAUACAGUAUCACCUUGCCCUGCUCUAUAUGCUCCUGAAUUGAAAUAAGAGAAGCAAGUGUGCAGUGAGAUUCAAUUAUUGCUAGAUGGACAUAUCACUUCAGGACACGUUCUCUGUUAAGUGCAUCAUUAGAAGAGGGAGUAGUUUCAAAUACAUGACUGUUACUGUACCAAGGAAUGCCAGAAGCAGUAAACCUGCUAUUGAUUUUACUGUUUAUGAAACCUGUUCGAGUGUAACAAGGAUAUUGUCGAUCUCCACUAGAUCUGCAAACAGUUUUAUUGCACACAAAUGUGCAUUGAUUUGCUUUUCCAGCAGUGUAGAUUCGUUCUGUGUGUUCAUUUUCAUGAUUGAGAGUUAGCAAUGGUAUCUUGGACAUGCUCACUUUCCAUUUUGUGCAUAGAAGAACAUGCACGAAAAUUGGCUUGGCUCAGCUAUUCUAUUGUAACGGCUGGUUUAGAAUUACCGAAUCUGUCGAUCCAGAGCUGGUAAUUGCAUGACAGUAGUUAUGCUCUGAUGCUGCAUACCGCUAUUUGUAGUUUGAUUAUCUUCUCGAUGCUUUGCCAAAAAUUCGUUUCUUUGCCCAA
This is an RNA transcript of Triticum dicoccoides, 2089 nucleotides long. It is a transcript of the gene named fructose-bisphosphate aldolase-lysine N-methyltransferase, chloroplastic-like, with no coding region annotated. The transcript is spliced from 14 exons. The record is from RefSeq and is a predicted model, not a curated record. NCBI's taxonomy places the organism in Eukaryota, Viridiplantae, Streptophyta, Magnoliopsida, Poales, Poaceae.